RNAcentral lists this ribosomal RNA (434 nucleotides) under uncultured Clostridium sp. RNAcentral's name for it is "partial 16S ribosomal RNA". It matches the Rfam family "Bacterial small subunit ribosomal RNA", at positions 341 to 792 of the family's 1533-position model. The record is from RNAcentral. Lineage: Bacteria; Bacillati; Bacillota; Clostridia; Eubacteriales; Clostridiaceae.
ACGGAAGGCAGCAGUGGGGAAUAUUGCACAAUGGGGGAAACCCUGAUGCAGCGACGCCGCGUGAGUGAAGAAGUAUUUCGGUAUGUAAAGCUCUAUCAGCAGGGAAGAAAAUGACGGUACCUGACUAAGAAGCCCCGGCUAACUACGUGCCAGCAGCCGCGGUAAUACGUAGGGGGCAAGCGUUAUCCGGAUUUACUGGGUGUAAAGGGAGCGCAGACGGCAAAGCAAGUCUGAAGUGAAAGCCCGGGGCUCAACCCCGGGACUGCUUUGGAAACUGUUUAGCUAGAGUACUGGAGAGGUAAGCGGAAUUCCUAGUGUAGCGGUGAAAUGCGUAGAUAUUAGGAAGAACACCAGUGGCGAAGGCGGCUUGCUGGACAGCAACUGACGUUGAGGCUCGAAAGCGUGGGGAGCAAACAGGAUUAGAUACCCUGGUA